GGUGCGAGCGUUGUCCGGAUUAUUGGGCGUAAAGGGCUCGUAGGUGGUUGAUCGCGUCGGAAGUGUAAUCUUGGGGCUCAACCCUGAGCGUGCUUUCGAUACGGGUUGACUUGAGGAAGGUAGGGGAGAAUGGAAUUCCUGGUGGAGCGGUGGAAUGCGCAGAUAUCAGGAGGAACACCAGUGGCGAAGGCGGUUCUCUGGGCCUUUCCUGACGCUGAGGAGCGAAAGCGUGGGGAGCGAACAGGCUUAGAUACCCUGGUAGUCCACGCUGUAAACGGUGGGUACUAGGUGUGGGGUCCAUUCCACGGGUUCCGCGCCGUAGCUAACGCUUUAAGUACCCCGCCUGGGGAGUACGGCCGCAAGGCUACAACUCAAAGGAAUUGACGGGGCCCCGCACAAGCGGCGGAGCAUGCGGAUUAAUUCGAUGCAACGCGUAGAACCUUACCUGGGUUUGACAUGGAUCGGGAGUGCUCAGAGAUGGGUGUGCCUCUUUUGGGGUCGGUUCACAGGUGGUGCAUGGCUGUCGUCAGCUCGUGUCGUGAGAUGUUGGGUUAAGUCCCGCAACGAGCGCAACCCUUGUUCACUGUUGCCAGCACGUUAUGGUGGGGACUCAGUGGAGACCGCCGGGGUCAACUCGGAGGAAGGUGGGGAUGACGUCAAGUCAUCAUGCCCCUUAUGUCCAGGGCUUCACGCAUGCUACAAUGGCUGGUACAGAGAGUGGCGAGCCUGUGAGGGUGAGCGAAUCUCGGAAAGCCGGUCUCAGUUCGGAUUGGGGUCUGCAACUCGACCUCAUGAAGUCGGAGUCGCUAGUAAUCGCAGAUCAGCAACGCUGCGG
This 835-nucleotide ribosomal RNA is filed under the name uncultured Actinomycetes bacterium. Its description in RNAcentral is "bacterial SSU rRNA". It matches the Rfam family "Bacterial small subunit ribosomal RNA", at positions 531 to 1362 of the family's 1533-position model. Lineage: Bacteria; Bacillati; Actinomycetota; Actinomycetes. The record is from RNAcentral.